UCUUUUCUUUAUGACUUAACAGUCUGUGGUAUUGUGUUUUUAGCAUCAGAAAAUAGACUAAUAUGUUUUAAUAUAUGUAUAAAGAUAUAUUCACAGGAUGUUAUUUACCAAGAUGUUCAUUGGAACAUUAGUGUGUGUGUGUGUGUGUGUGUGUGUGUGUGUGUGUGUGUGAGAGAGAGAGAGAGAGAGAGAGAGAGAGAGAGAGAGAGAGAGAGAUCCAAGUUACACAGAACAUAG
This 237-nucleotide long non-coding RNA is filed under the name Marmota monax (woodchuck). The record is from RNAcentral. Lineage: Eukaryota; Metazoa; Chordata; Mammalia; Rodentia; Sciuridae.